UAAGUUUUCUGUUAUCUCAGUCAUCUGUUAAAUUAUUGAACCCCUGAAUGCCUGGAUGCAGUGUGAACCCUUUCUCUUAUUGCUUGAAUUUCUUGGUGAUUUAUCAUAUUUCAUACUAUUAUGAAUCUGAAGAAUUAGAGCUUAUUAGAUCAAUGUUCACUUUUAUUGUUGGAGACAUCAGCAGUUCCUGAAACUAUUGAUCUUCUCUUUCCUUCUCGAUUAUGUGUGUGUGCACCUGUACAUGCUUUUAGUGCAUGUUUAGCAAGCAGUAUUACAAUUUCAUGAUAUGAAUUUGCCAUUUUGUUAAUAAAGCAAAUACGACUUCUCUUGGUAUGUACUAAAAGAUUCACUUAAAAGUCUAUUUUCACCUUAUAAUUUCACGUUGUCAGCCAAAUCAUCUUACUUUCCGAACACAACCAUUCCAUUCUGUAAUAUAAUUUAACAUGCGGGUAUUAAUAUAAUUUAACAUGCGGGUAUUAACUGAUAGGAUCCUCGUACGGAAAACAAUCCCUACCUGGGAUUUAUCUACACUUCAUUCCAGGAGAGGGCAACCUUCAUUUCUCAUGGAAACACGGCUAGGCUUGCCAAGGAACACGGGGACCUGAAAUUGGCUCAGAUAUGCGGUAUCAUUGCUGCAGAUGAGAAGCGCCAUGAAACUGCGUAUACCAAAAUUGUUGAAAAGCUAUUCGAGAUUGACCCUGAUGGCACUGUGUUGGCACUUGCCGACAUGAUGAGGAAGAAAGUCUCUAUG
Molecule: long non-coding RNA, 751 nt
Filed under: Olea europaea (common olive)
Lineage: Eukaryota; Viridiplantae; Streptophyta; Magnoliopsida; Lamiales; Oleaceae
Description: long non-coding RNA (OEUR_LNC009441)
Source: RNAcentral